RNAcentral lists this ribosomal RNA (253 nucleotides) under uncultured prokaryote. RNAcentral's name for it is "partial 16S ribosomal RNA". It matches the Rfam family "Bacterial small subunit ribosomal RNA", at positions 524 to 776 of the family's 1533-position model. The record is from RNAcentral.
UACGGAGGGUGCAAGCAUUGAUCGGAAUUACUGGGCGUAAAGGGCGCGUAGGCGGCGAUGAAAGUCAGAUGUGAAAUUCCGGGGCUCAACCCCGGAGCUGCAUUUGAAACUCCAUGGCUAGAGUACAGUUAGGGAAAACGGAAUUCCACGUGUAGCGGUGAAAUGCGUAGAUAUGUGGAAGAACACCGGUGGUGAAGACGGUUUUCUGGGCUGAAACUGACGCUGAGGCGCGAAAGCUAGGGGAGCAAACAGG